AGUAGGUACAGUGAACUCUAAACAAUAAAAUAACUGUUUCCAACACAGUGAGAUGAUUAUAAACUAGAAAUGAUACAAAUUGCUUGCACUAGAAGAUUAAAACUGAGAAUUAUUCUUACAAAUCAAUCUAUCUCCAGUUUACAUUAUAUAUUACUAUAUUAUUAAAAUCUUGGAAUGAUAAGCAACAAAAAAUUGGCGAACUAUGAUAAAUGAACAUCUAAAUCACAAGAUCCCAAAUUUAAAAAGAAAGACAAUUAAAAAUGGAUUAAAGAAUGCAUGGUCAAAUAUAAAAGAGAAAAAAAUUAUUUCGAAAAUAAUGGGGACCAAACACUGCUUAAGAACCUAUGGGAGAGGUCUUAAUAACUAUGACUUCUAGAGCAGAGGGUAACUUAAGUAUACCGAGAAGAAAAAUGUCCAUGUCUUUGGAUUAAGUUCUUCCAACGUGUUUUCAUUUGUCUCAAUCUAACUCCAUAAGACAAAAAUUAGCAUCAAGUACUAUGGUCAAUAAUUAACCUAACGAAGUUUGCAUAAAAAAAUGCUGACUAGACAAAAAUUAUUAACGAGACACAGUUCGAUGACAGGAAAUGAGACACAGUUCAAUGAUAGGGGCUCCUCUGUACAAGUUUUUUUUCAAUUUUCUGACCGGUUACCUGUUUCUCUUCCAUUUUUCUUUGCAAUUCCUCCCAGUUAUUCGAACUAGCAUUUUUUCUGCUUCCCCCAUGCUCUUUUCUUCGCAUAAUCCACAAACAAAGUGUUGUAUGUCACAAAAUUACAUGCCACUCCUCCCUCCCGCAUUUCAUCAAACAGUUCAUAGGCUUUGCUCAUCUUACCAUCCUUGCAAUGCUCAUACAUCACAGAAACAGAAUUGCAAGUAGACAAGUCGGGCAAAGCCCCAUCAAGCUUCAUCUUCUCAUAGAGCUCGAAUCCAUCUCUUUUAAGUCCUUUCUUAAAGAGCCCAUUUAUCAAAACAGCUUAAGUGUACAGAUUAGCAACCAAACCCAGCUCUUCCAUUUUACAGAACAAUUCCUUUACCUUUUCAACUUCACCAUUCUUACAACACCCAUCAAUCAACACUGUGUAUUGUGUAGACAACACCACCCAUUAACUAUCAAGUCAAGCAGAGACGGAGUAGAGAAAAAAUUGACAUGGUACAGAGAACAUGAAAUUGAAAAAAAUGAUAUUAAAAAAACUGGAUUAUGAAAUGGGUUGUAAUAUGACAAAUCCAAGGGGGUAAAAAUUUGCUUUGUUGGGGGUCAUUACAGAUGAGAAAAAUUCUGGAAUCCAUGUUCCAUUCCACAUCCAAACACGUGGAAUCUCAAAAUCAAGAAAAACAAAAACAAAAUUGGAAUCUGCAACUUGAAAUAAAGAGAAUCGACAAGAUUGAUUAAAAAAGAAUUGCUUUGUACUCAAUCUAAUUAAGAAUUAAUACUCAAUCUAAUUAAGAAUUAAACAUAUAGAAAUCAAAUAUGAUGAUUUGAUUGUUAAACUAACCUCAAUCUAUGCAGUCACAGCCUCGUUGCCAACCUUUUGCAGUGAUUUCCCCAGAGGCAGAUCUGGAAGCAGAGAAGGGUCGUCGAUUUCUUCUUCCUGGUUCAGUUGAAUCGAUGAGAGAGACGGUAGUGAUUUGUACGCGGGUAGAGAGAGAGAGAGAUUAACGUGGGUUGGU
RNAcentral lists this long non-coding RNA (1666 nucleotides) under Olea europaea subsp. europaea. Lineage: Eukaryota; Viridiplantae; Streptophyta; Magnoliopsida; Lamiales; Oleaceae. The record is from RNAcentral.